This is a long non-coding RNA of Prinia subflava (tawny-flanked prinia), 764 nucleotides long. RefSeq lists it as uncharacterized. NCBI's taxonomy places the organism in Eukaryota, Metazoa, Chordata, Aves, Passeriformes, Cisticolidae. The record is from RefSeq and is a predicted model, not a curated record. The transcript is spliced from 2 exons.
CUUUCAGGUUUCUGGAUCUCACUAAAUUCGAGGGAACUUGCUGAAAGGCAAGGCUGCAGGACUUGAAAACACCAAUCCAAGCCAAUGCUCUUGGUAUCUCCAGGCUUCUCCCAGCAGAACCAGGACUUGGCAAUGGCCAGUCAUUAGAUGCUGAUUGAAAUAGAGAAGUCUCUGGGGGGGAAAAAAGCCAACUCUGCUUCAGUUGGGUUGUCUUGAAGCACAUGAAUUUGGUACUUUUCAAAGGGAACUGAGUGGGAAGAUGCAGCCCACCACACGUCGUGCCCCCCAGCUGGUAAUGGACAUGGAGUGCAUGGCUGCAGAGUGCAGACUUGUGUGGUAAAGCUCACCAGGCUCCCACAGCAGGGCCCUUAGGUCUCAGCACCAGCUCUUCCACUCUGACAAUCCACUGGGACUGCAGGACAUGUGCUGAUGUAGGCAGACACUUCCUCUUCCAAAGUGUCCCCAUGAACUUUUGGAGCAUGCAACGGAGUUGGCUGAGUCUUGCUUUUCCACGGGAUAAAAAUUAGUUCCCUCCAACUUCUUGAAGAGUCGGGGAAUCAUAAAUUGGGAAUGGGGAAGUUGAUCUGCAUUUUUGAAAAUCCUUUAGUUUCUCCUUUUGAUUUUUUUUUAAUCACCCAAAUAUAUACAUGUAACAUUUGAGCCUUCAAAGUAGAAUUGAUGGGUACAUAGCCCUUGUCUGUUACUUUUCAAAAGCCUGAGCUAUUUAAUUCUCCUUAAAAUAAAAAUAGAAGUGGUAAAUUUUA